GGGGGAUUAGCUCAGCUGGGAGAGCACCUGCUUUGCACGCAGGAGGCCAGCGGUUCGAGCCCGCUAUCCUCCACCA
This 76-nucleotide transfer RNA is filed under the name Helicobacter heilmannii. RNAcentral describes it as "tRNA-Ala-TGC". It matches the Rfam family "tRNA". Rfam says of the family: Transfer RNA (tRNA) molecules are approximately 80 nucleotides in length. The record is from RNAcentral. Lineage: Bacteria; Pseudomonadati; Campylobacterota; Epsilonproteobacteria; Campylobacterales; Helicobacteraceae.